This is a small nuclear RNA of Oryctolagus cuniculus (rabbit), 107 nucleotides long. The record is from Ensembl. Lineage: Eukaryota; Metazoa; Chordata; Mammalia; Lagomorpha; Leporidae.
AUGCACAUCUUCAGCUGCAUGAAGAUGAAAAUUGGAACACAGAGAAGGUUAGCAUCACCCCAUACAAGAAUGAUGACAUGCAAAGUCAGGAUAGGUUUUAUAUUUUU